Molecule: non-coding RNA, 7145 nt
Organism: Chiloscyllium plagiosum (whitespotted bambooshark)
Lineage: Eukaryota; Metazoa; Chordata; Chondrichthyes; Orectolobiformes; Hemiscylliidae
Source: RefSeq, a predicted model, not a curated record
GGAACGGUCGAAGUAUCUAACAACGGAUUCCUUCCCCCCCUCUCUCUCCCUCUCAAGAAUGAAGCAUUUCCUUGGAGUGGAGACACCGCCUUCGCCCUCCUCUAAGGUUACAGCUUCCUCUCUCUGAUAUAAACAAACAUGCCCUUUCGCUGCAGGAGAAGAACUUCCUUCACUUUCAAACUUGCCGCAGACCAGCUCCACUCAAAAAAGAAAGUCCAAUGGGAUGUCUCUCUCGCCAGACUGAGUGUGGUGGGUGUGAUUGAACAGCAGGUUCAGCAUUGCUCUGCCGUCUCACAGUCAGAUUAUUUGAACCAUGCCUGGAUUAGUUUGUCAUGGACUUCUCAUGACAUCUAGGAUGGUUUCUUGUAGAAACUAAUGAGAAUGUAGAGGAUGUUUACAGCGAACCAGGGAGUACAGUACUUGUAAAUGUUUGCAAUCAAAGCUUCAAUACUGAAAAUGACUUUAUGUGGUUAAAAGGGAGCUCACAAAUAGUUGCACGAUACCGAAAUGGUUCUAAAGUGUAUGGAAAAUUUAUCAAUAGAGUUGAAGCUUUUUCAAAUGGCACGCUGAAAUUUAACAUCACAACAAAAGAUGAUGAAGGAGAAUACAAAUUCGAAGUACAUAACAACGAGGGAAAACUUCAAUGCAGUCGAGAUUUUAAAUUGCAUUUACUCGAGAAACUAUCAACACCGGUAUUGAAUAUUACUUGUGUAUCUGAGCGAGAUGUGUUCAUGUCAUGUGAGGUUCGUGGAGGGAUUCCAUUUAACUUCUAUUUGAAUGACCAAAAACUUACUGAAGACAAUGCUGUGUUUUCAUCUGAUGGAAAGAAGGCUACACUGAAGAAUUCUACCUCAAUAUUUGGCAAUAAAACAUUCUUUUGUAAAAUUGAAAAUCCAGUUAGUAAAAUCCAGACUGCUCCAAGAGAACUUACCUGUGCAGGUACAAAAGAAGGUCAUCAUUAUGUGCAGGUUAUUAUUGUUAUUCUGGUGGUAGUGGUUGGACUGAUUAUUCUUGUGGGCGUGGCAUAUUGUUUUUUUCAGAAAAGUCUUUAACAUCAUCUGGAAGACAAGGGGAGCUGGGAAUCAGUGAAGAAGUGGGCAUUAAAAUGCAAUUAUGCAGUGCAACAAAGUGGACUGAGGGAAAAAAGUCUAUUUGAAUAAGCAACUGACCUGCAAGAUUUUCAAGUGUUUGACUGGUGGCUUUGCAGAAUUAAAUACAAUCAACAAUCCAUAAAUGUUUUUUCACAAUUGAACAGAACCAUCUGGUACAUCAAUUUGAGUCAUGGAACUUUUGUCUGUUUUGUAAACUAAUAUUACCCUGUUUUAUUUUUUAAAUUCUUGUUUCUCGAGAUGUUCCACUCAAAGAUUUGAGAAACAGAUGUAAAGCUGUGCACUCAGCAUGAAAUUAUUAUUGCAAGGUUUGCUUUGCGAAUGCCUAGCCACUGAAUAUUUUCUGAGAGGACAUGACUCUCCUAAAGGUGGCUGUGCCUGUAAAGCCUGAUUUUCCUUUGUACCCAUUUGUGUGUACAUUUAGCUGUCCCCAAGCCCAUUACUUUGAUUGCGUUUCUUUCCCACUUCUCUUGUCAUUUUUCUCCUUGCUCAUCCAUUUCUAAGAAAUAAUCAUGUUGUUUCUUACCUCUCCCCUCUUGGGUACUUUUCCCCUCUGUCCUUAUUCCAAUCCAUUUCUACUCUGUCUCUCCAGGCUUGAUUUUUCUUGGAUCAAUUUAAGACAUCUGUGCAUCUCUUAGCAUUCUGGAAAACUCGCUUUGUGGCAUCCAUCACUGCAUCCUUGUAAGCAGCAAUCUUAAAUUGUCCUCCCUUCCCAAUUAGGUAAGGUCAAUGGAUAUCCUGUUACACUUCCCCAAAUCACCCAAAAUCUCUCUGUAUUCUGUAAACAGAAAAACAAUCAAUAUAUUUCUCUGCGUUUCUGGUUUGAAUAUGUAUUCACUCAAACAAGGAUAAACCAUCUACAAAAAUACUGUGGAUAAUUGUAUUAGCAUUAUGGCUUUUACUAAAGUUUGGCUUAAAUGGAUUCUUACUGAAGCUUCACGGCUGGUGAAACAUUCCAUAUCUGGCACAGCCAAACUUCCAGAGUAUGAUAUGUGGGCAAAGCACAUCUCGAUCUCUUACCCCUUUCACUUUGUAUAAAUUCUUCUUUGAGCAUUUCUUCUUGUUCCAUCUUCUCACGAUGAUUUUUCUUCAUGGUACAUCAAAACCACCCUGAGAUGUCAUCCCUUCUUUUUCCUUGGUAUUUGCACCAGGUGACUUCCCAUCCUCAAUAAUUUUGAUCUUUAUCUUAAUUCACCUUUGCCUCAUUUCAUCCUCCUAUUCUGCAAGAGGUAUGAGGACGGGUGAUGAGUUUCUUCUUCAUGAAAUCUUAUAUUAACUGUUCAGUUCCCUCUGCUGCAUCCUCUCCUGUCCUUUUUUAUAAAAUGAAAUUCCUGGGUUCCCCUCUUGCCUUGCAAUGAUUCUGCAUGUUUGUCUGGUGCCUCUCCUAAUACCUGAGUCCAUCUGAUCUUUAAAAUUCACUGACAGCUUUUGGUAUCAUUCUCACACUCAUCUGCUGAUCCCUAGUGUUGGCUGAUGUUGUAAACUAUCUAUCUCUUCAAACAGGCCUAUUUCUCAAAAUUACCAUCAUCAAUUUAUUCAUUCAACAUUUUCAUCAUUACAAACUACCAUUUCAUUUCCUUUUGUUAUUCAAAGUCCCUAAAAGCAUUGUCACCUCUGAAAUCUGUGUCCACUUUAUCAGAAUCUUUGGAGAUGGCACCCUGGAAGUGAACCAAUCUCCUGGAGGAAUGUGCUGCCCAAAGUAACUGAAGUUGUCUAAAUGUGACCACCCCACUGAUUGACCGAACAUCCAUUUUCUAAAUUUAGAGCAACAGGUCCAUUCAGCAGGUUCACACAUCAUUAAACAAAGAUCAAGCAAUCGCAUGAAUUAAGGCAGAACACAAGUAUUAAUUGAAGAGGCAGGAACCCAACUUGCAGUUAUGAUAGUUAUGAAAAAUGCACAAUAUUGAAAUUAAAUGGAAAGGCAAAGGUAUAGGUAAUCUGUUCCUUGUGACAGCUAUGGGGUACAAUUGCAGUGUCUCUGUGUUUACAGUAAAACAAAGAGUGAAAGAAAACAGAAACUGUAGUGUGAGAAAGCUCUGCACAAUGCUGCCUAUCAACUUGGAGCUGGAAUCUUCUGUUCUUUUCAACAGGAGCCUAUCUGCAAGUGCACAGCAUCUCUGAGCUCAUGUUCAGCAAUGUCCUCCUAUAUGCCACCCCAUCAAUGUCCAUGUGAGUUCUCCAUAGCAGAUGUUGUUUACAACAUCACCCUCCAGUGAGCAGGAAAACCAUUCUUUAGCCUUGGCCUAGGUGCAACCUAAUCAUGUCUAAAUGACUGACCACACACUUUAUAUGAGCUUCCAAUGUAGGUGCAGUGGCAGUGUCUGGGUGGGUGACUGUGAGAGUCAGCACCAAUGGCAAGGCCUCUAUGCCAGUAUUAUUCUGUUAUUGUUUCUUUCUCCCCUUGUUUGCUGGUGCUAGGCAGCUACAUGUUUGAAAGCAAGAAUGAGCAGAGAAGGUUGUGGUAACAGAGGUACAGGAAUGGGUGUAAAGCAGGUAACUUCAUCAUCAGACCAAACAGUAAGCUGGAGAUAUGAAAACAUUAUAAUCAGAAAAAUACCACUAUCCUGAAUGAUCAAAUUAAUGCUGGUUAAUCUCUACCAUGAUGUAGAGAGUUAUUUCCUCCACAGGACUCAGGAGAAUCAGAGGUCCAUGUCCCCCAUCAGCUCUGCUCCUUUUCACUCUGUGCUGUCUUGCCCUCCUUAGGAUAGGGAAGAACUCUAGUUGAAGCUGUUUUUUAGUGAGUCACCCUCUGUAACUGCAGUGCUGAAGGUUGUGGCAGUGAGAGAUUGGCGUAAGGCUACCAGGCUUGGUAACUGUGUGACGAGGAAGUAGAGCAUUUGGAUGUUAUGUUUGGAUGUUAUAUGCCAGGGAGUAUUGCUGGCUGAGUGUUGGGUGUAGUGUAUUGAUCAGCUUGAGAUGCCAGUGGAGACAUCAUGAGAAGAUAGAUCUGUUGGUCUUGAUCAAUCAUGUAAGUUCUGUGACACCACUGCAGGUCCUUGAGUCAGAGGCUGAGAAUUGACCAGGCCACUUCUUCCCAUUCCCUUCUGAAGGUUGUGCUGAGGGCCUCUUGCCUCCAUUUCAGAACCAUGAGUGCCCGAGUGCCUCCAGUACCAAAACCAUGACUUUGGGGUCCUCUAUCUACCCUGAUGUUCCAUUUUUUGGGCUUUGAAGUGCAGCAAUAGUACUCGCCACCAAACUGCUAGAUUCAGUGGCACUCCCCUCUGAGAGAUAGACCAUACCAUGUGCCUUCAGUGAUUGCAGAAGCAGUUAGCAGCAUGAUAGACAGCGUUAUAUUUUUACCAGAUAACCGGGGUGGAAACUUCAAAUUUGUGUGCUGCCUCCCUUCACUGGGACCAGCAUCGGGAGAAGUCAUCGAUUAUGAACCCCAAACACAAACCUAUUUUUACCCCUCCAUCUUGUUGCUUUUUGUUCCUGUAUUGCAUUCAACAACCCUAAUUAGAGUUCUAAAUAAUAACUGCUGUGUUUUUGUUCUCCUCAAACUCAGUGAAACCUUUGAUGUGGUUAAUAUUCUCCAAUGCAUUUUCUCCAUUGUUGCAGUCAACAGAAAUGGAGUGGGUAGCUCACAGCUUCAACUAGACAAGUCUUGUCACCUUUCUUAUGGGUUCUUGCAUUCCUCCAAGACUGACCUCUUGCAUAGCACAAAAGUGUAAUGGUGCAGCAGGAGGCUAUUCAGUUCAUCAUGUCUAGGAGAACAGGAACGAAGGGAGUCAGUUGAGUCCAUUCAACAUGAUAAUGGCUGAUCAAACACAUUUAUAUAUUCCCAUAACCCUGAACUCCCUGAAUCAGAAAUCUAUCAGUCUCUAAUUAAAUGUAUAUAAAGACUGAGCCUCCAUAGUCUGCUGUCGUAGAGAAUUUGAAAGGUUCUUAAACUCUUGAUUAAUAAUAUUUCUCCUCAUCUUGGACCUACAUAGCAUCCGUCUUAUUUUUAAAUUAUGCCCCCGGUUCUAAACUCCCCCACCAGGGGAAACAUCUUAACUGCAUGUACCCUAUCCAUCCUUUAAAUAUUUUGUGAGGUUGAAUGAGAUCACCUUGCACCCUACAAAACUCGAGAGAAAAAAGGCCCAGUUACGAACUUCUCUUCAUAGGUCAGUGAUGCCAACCCAGGGCCAAAUUUGUGACGCUCUGACACACUCCCUCUGUGAUAAUAAUAUCUUUUCUGUGUUAAGGAGACUGAAAACUGCACACAACACUUCAUAUGCAGACAAGUCAAACUUCUAUACAAUUGAAGCAAGACUGUCUUCUGUACUCAAAUCCUCUUGUGUUAAAGGCUAAUGUUCUAUUGACAUUACUAAUAGUUUGCUGCAUUUUUUUUUAAUUACUUCACAGGAUAUGGGUUUUGCUGACUGGGCUGGAAUUUAUUGCCCAUUCCUAGUUACCCUCGAGAAGGAGGUGGUGACCAUGCAUUUUGGCCUUCAGUAACUUAGUAACAAGGAAACCUAGGUCACUUUGUGCCCCUAUACUUUUCAUUUAACAAUAUUAUCCAUGUCUGUUUCUCCUACCAAAGUCAAUAACCUCACAUUUUUCUAACAUUAUAAUUUAUCUGCUCAUUCACAAGGACCCUCACCAGCUUUUACAGAUGCACCAUAGAGAGCAUUCUAUCCGGUAUGGUAUGGCAACUCUCUGCCAAGGACCAUAAGAAACUAUUAACUUUCAGGUUGUGUGCACAGCCCAGACCACCACAGAAGCCAACCUCUCAUCCAUGGACUCUAUUUACACUUCUUGUUGCUGUGGAAUGGCUACCAACAUCAUCAAAGACCCUCCCACCCCGGUAAUGUUCUCUUCCAACCUCUUCCGUCAGGUAGAAGAUACAGGAGCUUGAACACACAUCAAUGGGUUCAAGAACAGCUUCUUCCCUGUUGUUAUUGGACUGUUGAAUGGACCUCUCUAACUCCAAAUAAUGGUGAUCUCACUAAUGUUGAUCUUGCUUUGCACACCUCCUGUGCAGUUGUAAUCUUGUAUGCCUCACUCUAAGCCCCCUAUGAUUUGUAUACUGCUCACAAAACAAAGCUUUUCAUUGUACUUAGGUACAUGUGACGACAAUAAAUUAAAUCAAAUCAAGUCAAAAUCAUCUUGAAGCCAUGUUACAUUUUGUUUAUAUUCCAUAUUUCCACUUAGCUUUGUAUCAUCCACAAAUUUGGAAAUGCUACAUUUGGACCCAGACUGCAAAUCAUUAAUAUCAGCCAAAGCCCAAGUUCUGAUUCUUGCGGUACCCCACUAGUCACAGCCUGAAAAUGCAAGGAUUUUUACUACACUCUGUUUUCUUUCCUCAUUAGUUUCCACAGCUUCCUUUACCCCUCUCUGACUGAGAGGCCACGUCAUUAGUUUUCUAGGGUAUAAUAUUGGGAAUUCCCUCCCCUAACCUCUGUAUCCCUAUCUCGAUCCUCUCCUUGAAAGCACAGCAUAAAAUCUAAUUCUUUGAGAAAGCUCAUGUUGUUUUGUCCUAAUACUGUUCUGUGUGGUUUGGUCAAGUGAAACUGUGAAAUGUUCUGGGACAUCUUAUAAUUUUAAACAGGCACUAUUCAAAAGCAAAGGUAAAAAACUUCCUUUUUUUAAAAAACUGUCCCAAUAUAAGAAAGGUCUCCCAAGCCGAUCCUUACGAAGACCUUUCAGUUACUUGUCCCCUUCUGGGUCACCCUGAGUUUAAAAAAAAAUCAAGUAAGUCACUCUUCUCUGUUCUGAAUGUCAGAAGAUGAAAUCUUAACCCAAAUUAAGGUGGGAAAUAAUGUACUGAAUUCAACUUUUUGAUCAAUCUUGAAUUUAUUUGUUCAAAUUAUCAUUGAUCCCAGAGCUGCAGUUAGGAAACCUUAGUUGUGUGAACAAACUUGUUGUUCAUUAUAAUCCAAAGUAACCUACCUAUUGGAAUUGUGAAACUGUUGUUGGUACUUAUCUGCAACCUGUUGCAUUUAUUUUCUUGACUAUUAGAUUCUUCAUUCUCUUUUACUUUUCAUUUUUCAACACACUGGGUAUUAAAUAUUUUGUACUUCCUGUUAAAUAAAUAUAAAAAUGCACAAUACA